AGGCGGCAGCGCGUGGACGGCCGGGCGAGCUACUUAGCUUAUCUGAAACCAUAUCCAGAACAGUGAAAGCAUAUGCAAGCAUGCAUAUGCAUCGAUCGAUCGAUAUAUACGUAUGCCCAAAUUAAAGCACGGCUAGCUCCUCCCCCGGCAGGCGAACGGCCGGCGAGCUCCUCCCCAGGCGCGCGGACGGCCGGCGGGCUCCACCCCCGCGCGCGGACGGCCGGCGGGCUCCACCCCCGCGCGCGGACGCCGGCGAGCUCCUCUCCCGGCGCGCGUACGGCAGGCGAGCUCCAUACCCGCGCGCCGACGCUGGCGAGCUCCUCCCCGGCGCGCGGACGGCAGGCGAGCUCCUCCCCCACGCACGGACCGCCGGCGAGCUCGCGGGACAGCCAGCGGGCUCCUCAACCGGCAGGCGGACGGCCGGCGGGCUCCUCUCCCGCGCGCGGACGCCGGCGAGCUCCUCCCCUUGCGCACGGACGGCCGGCGAGCUCGCGGGACGGCCAGCGAGCUCCUCCCCCGCGCACGGCCGCCCACGAGCUCCUCACCCGGCAGGCGGACGGCCGGCGGGCUCCUCCCCCGCGCGCGGACGCCGGUGAGCUCCUCCCCAUGCGCACGGCCGGCCGGCGAGAUCCUCCCCCGAGCGUGGACGGCCGGCGAGCUCCUACCCCGUGCGUCGUCGCCGCCCUGCUUCUACUGUUGGAAGGUGGGAGGAGUGGAAAAGAUGAGAGGGGGGGGGGGAGAUAAGCGACACGUCGACGACACGCGGGGCGAAGACUGGGUCAACACCGCCACGUGGGUGCCACGUCAGCCAAAACCGCUUCUAAAACCACCCAAGGAUAUAGUUUGCAUCGGUUUUGAUAGUUGGAGGAGUCAAUAUACCCGGUUUUGUGGUUGGAGGUCAUCAAUCAUACUCGGACCAUAGUUGAGGGAGUCAAAGUAUACUUUUUCCUAUUUAUGUGUGAAAGAAAUUAAGUCUGUAUUUCGUCAUGUUGGUACUUGUUAGGCUGCUACUAUCAGGUUCUCAAGCAGUGCAGGGGUGAGAGUAGAAGCACCACCUCGUUCCGCACUUCAGCUCGCGCAGGGGCAGUUCAGUGGCUGCUUUCCCGGCUUCUCCCUGACAAAGAAAUAUUUUGCUAUGUUAUCUGGAUUAUGAUCCCAAAAGAAGCUCUUUUGUUGAUCUUGGUUUGUGUAAUUAAAUUUUGCUCGGCCAUAAGUAUGUAAACAAAACCAAAUUCAUGUUACAUACUCAGCAUUUUGUUAUCGACAUUGUCUUUUAUCUUCUAA
This is a long non-coding RNA of Oryza sativa Japonica Group (Japanese rice), 1284 nucleotides long. RefSeq lists it as uncharacterized. The record is from RefSeq and is a predicted model, not a curated record. Lineage: Eukaryota; Viridiplantae; Streptophyta; Magnoliopsida; Poales; Poaceae.